Drosophila miranda is the source of this 2542-nucleotide RNA transcript. RefSeq lists it as uncharacterized. NCBI's taxonomy places the organism in Eukaryota, Metazoa, Arthropoda, Insecta, Diptera, Drosophilidae. The record is from RefSeq and is a predicted model, not a curated record. The transcript has 3 exons.
CGAGAUGAACGAAAUCAACAAAGGCAACUAGAAUGGAGAGUAACGCGCAGAUACAUAGUCGAAAGACGUAGAGGAAUUGACCAACAACGCCAACAAUUUCAUCGAGCAUUUACAUCAAAUUUAUUUCUUUGACUAGCAUUCCAGUAUGAGCCUGAUGUUAUUUAUGCUCAUUCUAAAGUGGUUAUUGGUACUUUGGAAAAGAAAUGCCCGCAUUGUCAUGCACUCUAAUUUAAAAAUGAGCCAGUUGGGAUGUGGUGCUCAUCAGGAAAAGUACUAAUAACCGAAAUUGAAACACCACCUGAACCAUUGCACGGUUUACUUAUCGGUACCGAUCCUGAUUCUAGCAUGUUGUUGAAGUCAACUCGCACAUUCAAUUCAUGUUUACAAAUGAGCAACAAAAAUAGUUAACAAUAUUGCUGCAAACGGUCAACAAUUUCCACGUUCAAAAUCAAAGGUCAAGUUUAUCACAAAGUGGGCUCAUUGCUGCCAAUGCCAAACGAAUCACAUACAUUUUUACAAAUAUACUUUAUGGGUGGCGAGGACUCCGAACGUGCACUCCCCAAUCGCGUGGAUGCACGUUGCGACUAUCAUAAUUGCAAUUCACAUUUUACCAGGCGUAUCGUCAGCGAGCUGGACGCUCUGUUAAAUGAGCACAAUGAAUUAUUGAAAUUAUUCAAAUCACACAUGCACAAACUACAAAGUGACAAUCACGCUUGUCAUCAAUCCUGAUAGAACACCAGCUGGAGAGCAUAUACGUAGAUUCAAUGCACCUGUUGUUGACGACGUUGCUGGAAUCAUGGUUGGCGACCGUACAGCUACGCGACAAAUCGUGAUUCGAAGAAGAAAUAAUGAUCUUCAGUUUAUUAGUGAUACCCCUCGUUCAUAUGACUCUCUCCAAUAUCAACUAAUAUUCUGGAAGGGACAAGACGGAUAUUGUGUAAACAUUAAACAACGAGAUCCCGUAACAGGAGCCGAAACAAAUAGGAACGUUAGUUCGAAGUUUGAUGAUUAAACGCGGCCGAGACAACAUCAUUUUACGAUAUCGUGAGCAUUGCCAACAACUACGAUUCUUGCGAUAUAAUCAACAGAAGCUGCGUGCGGAAGAAUAUAUUCACUUGCGAGAUGCCAUUGCGAACAACGCUGAUACUGACCAACUACCAAAUUGGACGGUAUAUCAGUUCCAAUGUAGCUGUCUAGCGUUUUUUCGGUUUCCCAAUUCAUGAACGGGAUCCAGCAGUUAUACAUUUAGCUGUCCAUCUUGAAAACGGCCAGCGCGUAUAUUUCACGGACGGUACAGCGCUUGAUCGUGCUAUAAUUCCACCAAAAACUACGGUCACCGAAUUUUUUGAAUUGUGCAAUCUCUUGCGGAUGCUUUUGGUGCCUUCGCACAAACACUGCUCUAUUCUGAAGUUCCACGAUAUUUUACAUGGGCUCAAUCGAAAAAAUGGAUGCCUCUCAAGCAAGGGACACCAGUUGAUGCGUGCCCCGGUUUAUACAAAUCAAAUAGUUUGGGUCAUGAUGCAAGUUAGUCCCUCAACGCCUACAAGCUACGAUGCGCACGCUUAUUAAUGGCACCAAAUUCAGAGGCAGAAAAUUAUGACCAAUUUAAAACCAACCUUCUGAAAACAUUUGAUAAGGCAUGUUCAACAACCGAAUUAGUGAUGGAACUUCAGAAAACUUUCUACAUUCCGGCAAAACAUCCGUUAUGGGGAACAUUAUGCUGACGCAAGAGUUGGCUGUGCGUGCAAGUGCAUGUGAGAUUGAAGCAGUCCACUUUAUCAUCGAUAGUUUCCUUAACACGUCGCCAGCCUUGUUGUAUGGAGCGAAAACUAUCAACGAGCUUAAGGAAUUAUUGAAUCGAUAUGCGGACUUCCGAGAAAAAAAAAAACCAAAAUGGAACUCAUCGCCUAGCUCUUCAGCUUCAACACAAUCUUUAUUAACAUCUUAUGGUGAGAUGCUAUGCUUAAAUUUUUCGUUGUUUGGACACUACACUUCAGAUUGCGAGGCACCCAAACGAGCGAAGGGGUUCUGCUUCCGUUGCGGCUCUCUUAGCCACACUAUAAAGACGUGUCUGGAGGUACCGCAAAAGUACACCAAAUCAGCAAUGGAACCAAAAACUCCCAGAGAUGAAGACAGCGACGAAUUCCCCUUUUUCCGAUAUUUUACCAGACCCUGCUUGAAGAACUAUAAGUUAAAAUUAUCAUUUAUGAGCAUCAUAAACCUGAGACAAAUAAAAUUUAAAUUUUAAGUUUCAAAUGAAGUGAUAAAAAAGCAUUUUGCCUAGCAUGAAUGUUUCCUGCGCUAUAGCCUUAGAUCAACUAAGUCCCACCCAUCUGGUUGAUACUGCUAAUGGUUAUAUUAGCUUUAAAACCUUUAAAAAAUCCAAAACAUCAAUUGAUAAUUCGGAAACAUUAGGCCAUAUAUUAGACAAAUUAGGGAAUGAGACAACAUCAGGUAGCAAUAUUGAUUACAAACUUAGUGAAAACCUUGCGUAGUGAAAUCCGAACAUUAAUUGAAUUAAAUUACUUAGAUUUGCCCAACA